AUGAACGGCGCUUCCUGGCAAGAAAAAAAAAUUAAAAAAAAAAAAAGCAAAAAACCGGCGCCUUUUCGCCUGCCCCAAAAACGCGGGGUUUCGGCUCUUUUCUCCUUCCUUUCUCCCGCCGUGGGGGGAGCGCCCGGCGUUCGUUUUGGGAUGGUUUCGGGCCCGCUGCUAAUUUGCCAGGGCAGCUUUAAUAGGAUUUCACGGCCAGCGCGGAUUAUCCGGGGAGAGCCCAUUACGGGGUGGCCGUGCGCCAGGGGGAGGCGGGGAGGGGCGCCCCCCCCCCCCCCCCCCCCCAACCUUCUUUUUUUUUUGGGGUAUUUGGGAAUCCUUAAAGGCUGGGAAAGACGAGGAGGGCUCUGGGCAUCUGCCCCCUGCGCUUUGCUGCACAAGGGUUGCCCGGGGACCCCCCCAACCCCCCAAAAGGGACCCUGCCCCUCUCUGCCCCGCUGUUCCCAGCUUGCAGGGAGCCCGGCCGUGCGUGGCGUGGCUCCUUGCACAAUUCCUUGCACAACUCCUUGCACAACUCCCUGGGCUGCACCUUGCACAAUGCCGUGCGCUGCAGGGCCUCCGCGUGGCACCUUGCGUUGUGGCGGCGCUUUGCAGAGCACCUUGCACAGCAGGGCCUGUGCACGGCGCCUUGCACGGCACCUUGCACGGCUCUGGCACCUUGCACAGCCCCUUGCACAGCGCCUUGCACAGCAGGGCCUUUGCACGGCACUUUGCAUGGCACCUUGCACAGCACUGGACCUUUGCACAGCACCUUGCACAGUGCUGGCAUCUUGCAGACACCUUGCACAGCAGGGCCUUUGCACAACACCUUGCACAGCACCUUGCACAGCACUGGCACCUUGCACAGCACCUUGCACAACAGGGCCUUUGCACGGCACUUUGCAUGGCACCUUGCACAGCACUGGCAUCUUGCACAGCAGGGCCUUUGCACGGCACCUUGCACAGCACCUUGCACAGCACCGACACUUUGCACAGUGCUGGCAUCUUGCAAACACCUUGCACAGCACCUUGCACAGCAGGGCCUUUGCGUGGCACUUGCACAACACCUUGCACACCACUGGCACCUUGCACAGCACCGACGCCUUUGCACGGCAUUUUGCACAGCGGGCUCUUUGCACAGCACCUUGCACAACGCCCUGAACGGCGGGGCCAUUGCUUGGUGCUCACCAUAGCAGGGUGUUUGCACAACCCCUUGCACGAACCCUUGCACCAACCCUUGCACAACGCCUCGCACAGCACCAGCACCUUGCACUGCACCUCGCUCAGCUCAGGAUGGGGCUGGGGGGGUGCUGUUGGAGCCCCCCAAAACCUCCCAGCACCAGGAGCAGCGCCGUGCCCAGCCCCGAGCGCUCGCUGCGGGCCAGCAGCUGUAAGGAGACACCGCCGGCGCGGCCGGAUUUAUAGGAAAAGCUUCCCUGGGGGGGAAUUAAGUGGGAAAAACCUCCGGCUGCCAGCUGCGAGGCUGCCAGGAGCCAGCAGCGAGGGCCAUGGCUGGAUCCAGCCCCUUCCAGCCCAAAGGGGAAACUGAGGCAGGGGCUGGGAGCUCGGCACCGUGGCCCCCACCCCAUCCCCGUGCCCCCCUAACGCCCCUUCCCCUUUGUUUUUUUUUUUGUAGGGUGUUCAAGAAGGCGAGUCCCAACGGGAAGGUAAGCGCCGCCUCGGGGGUCCCCCUGUCCCCAGAAGGGAAACUGAGGCACGGCAGGGUCUCGGGGGACGUGCCCAUGCCCACGGUCAGGGCUUUAAUUUGGGGCUGGGGGGGGGCUCCCCCGGGAGCCUUAAUGGGAUGAGGCUGGGGGCUAACGAGCUCCAGCUGGGGCGGCGCAAAUCGGAUUUUGUGGGGAGGGCUGCGGGGACGGAGCCAGGCAGCGGCUGCCGGGAGCUCCUGGGGUUGCUUCUCCCUCCGGCGUCCCCUCUGUGAUUUCGGGGGGGGUCCCGAAAUCUUUGGGUACCCCCGGUGUGAUGCUCGGCAGCAUCCCGGGCUCGGCACCGCUCCCUCCUCGCAGCCUUUUGGGUGCGCGUGGCGAAAAAGGAUUGGGGACAGCGGCGUCCCCAUAAGGGCCAAACUGCCCCAAAUCUGCACCCUGCAGCCCCCAUCCUCACCGCAGAGCCUCUCCCAAAUUGGGGGGGCACGGUCCCUGCG
RNAcentral lists this long non-coding RNA (2149 nucleotides) under Anas platyrhynchos platyrhynchos (common mallard). RNAcentral describes it as "lncRNA (ENSAPLG00000018345.1)". The record is from RNAcentral. Lineage: Eukaryota; Metazoa; Chordata; Aves; Anseriformes; Anatidae.